This is a non-coding RNA of Camelina sativa (false flax), 994 nucleotides long. Lineage: Eukaryota; Viridiplantae; Streptophyta; Magnoliopsida; Brassicales; Brassicaceae. The record is from RefSeq and is a predicted model, not a curated record.
UCAAGCCUUACCGCGUCCACGGUUUUGGCAUAUCUCACCUUUUUCAUCCACAACAAGAAAGAAAAUAAAUACUUUACUAUUCAAGAUGCUGAAGGGAAGCAGUUCAAUGCAAUAAGACCGGUAUGGGGAUUUUCGCAAGUGCUUCCGCUUGAUACAUUCAAUGAUCCGGAGAAGGGAUAUGUCUUCGAGGGAGAUCAAUGCGAGUUUGGUGUUGAUGUGUUGGUUCCACUUGCCAAUUGGGAAGUUGUCUCGUUUAAUCAGCAACCCUCGAAUCCCAAGUUCUCUUGGACGCACAACAAAUUCUCAAAGUUAAAAGAGACAACUUACCAAUCAAAGAAGUUUUCAAUCGGAAGAAGGAAUUGGGUGUUAACGUUUUAUCCCAAGGAUUUAACAGAUUGCAAAUCCUUAUCUCUCUAUCUGAAAGCUGAUAAUGACACAAUAAAGGAAGGUGACAUGAUUUACGUGCAAGCGGAUAUGCGAAUUCUCGACCCAUUUGGAUGUAAUCACGUGGAAAGGAAGAGUAAGUCGUAACGUUUUUUUUCAAGUAAUUUACAACUUGAUGAGAUUAGAUAUUAUCAUGUAAAAUAUUCAUUAGAGAUUAUAUUACUGUUUUACUGCAGUUAACAGUUGGUACCAGAAAACAAUAACUCCAGAAUGGGGAUGGAGUAAAUUUGUGUCUUUAGAUAAACUUCGGGAGGCCUAUUUGGACAAAGAAGGCUCUUUGAAUGUAGAAGUCGAAUUUAAAAGUCGUGUCUACCACCGAAUACUCUUCAUGAAGAUCUUCCUUUUCAUUUUUUUUUAAUAUUAUUUUUUACUCAGAUUUUUUUUUUUUUAAUGAAUUGUGAUAAAAAUUGGAUUGAUUUGAUGAGUUUUAUCUUUGUUUUUUUUGCACUUGUUUUUUGAAAAGAACCACACCAUAACCAAACCUUCAGGUUAUAUUAUUUAUCAAACAGAGCCGUUCAGAGCAAUUUACAACUCAAGAAACCUCGGUAGA